RNAcentral lists this ribosomal RNA (253 nucleotides) under uncultured bacterium. RNAcentral describes it as "partial 16S ribosomal RNA". It matches the Rfam family "Bacterial small subunit ribosomal RNA", at positions 524 to 776 of the family's 1533-position model. The record is from RNAcentral.
UACGAAGGGGGCUAGCGUUGCUCGGAAUCACUGGGCGUAAAGGGGGCGUAGGCGGGUCUUUAAGUCAGGGGUGAAAUCCUGGAGCUCAACUCCAGAACUGCCUUUGAUACUGAAGAUCUUGAGUUCGGGAGAGGUGAGUGGAACUGCGAGUGUAGAGGUGAAAUUCGUAGAUAUUCGCAAGAACACCAGUGGCGAAGGCGGCUCACUGGCCCGAUACUGACGCUGAUGCACGAAAGCGUGGGGAGCAAACAGG